UUGAUGGCGAGUGGCGAACGGGUGAGUAAAUACAUCGGAACGUGCCCUGUAGUGGGGGAUAACUAGUCGAAAGAUUAGCUAAUACCGCAUACGACCUGAGGGUGAAAGUGGGGGACCGCAAGGCCUCAUGCUAUAGGAGCGGCCGAUGUCUGAUUAGCUAGUUGGUGAGGUAAAGGCUCACCAAGGCGACGAUCAGUAGCUGGUCUGAGAGGACGAUCAGCCACACUGGGACUGAGACACGGCCCAGACUCCUACGGGAGGCAGCAGUGGGGAAUUUUGGACAAUGGGCGAAAGCCUGAUCCAGCAAUGCCGCGUGUGUGAAGAAGGCCUUCGGGUUGUAAAGCACUUUUGUCCGGAAAGAAAUCGCACUUACUAAUACUAGGUGUGGAUGACGGUACCGGAAGAAUAAGGACCGGCUAACUACGUGCCAGCAGCCGCGGUAAUACGUAGGGUCCAAGCGUUAAUCGGAAUUACUGGGCGUAAAGCGUGCGCAGGCGGUUGUGCAAGACCGAUGUGAAAUCCCCGAGCUUAACUUGGGAAUUGCAUUGGUGACUGCACGGCUAGAGUGUGUCAGAGGGGGGUAGAAUUCCACGUGUAGCAGUGAAAUGCGUAGAGAUGUGGAGGAAUACCGAUGGCGAAGGCAGCCCCCUGGGAUAACACUGACGCUCAUGCACGAAAGCGUGGGGAGCAAACAGGAUUAGAUACCCCUUGUAGUCCACGCCCUAAAACGAUGUCAACUAGGUGGUUGGGGGAUUUCAUUUCCUUAGUAACGUAGCUAACGCGUGAAGUUGACCCGCCUGGGAGUACGGUCGCAAGAUUAAAAUCAAA
Molecule: ribosomal RNA, 828 nt
Filed under: Ralstonia sp.
Lineage: Bacteria; Pseudomonadati; Pseudomonadota; Betaproteobacteria; Burkholderiales; Burkholderiaceae
Description: bacterial SSU rRNA
Rfam family: Bacterial small subunit ribosomal RNA
Source: RNAcentral